RNAcentral lists this transfer RNA (64 nucleotides) under Laodelphax striatellus (small brown planthopper). RNAcentral's name for it is "tRNA-Arg". The record is from RNAcentral. Lineage: Eukaryota; Metazoa; Arthropoda; Insecta; Hemiptera; Delphacidae.
AGUAAAGAAGUAAAAUAUACAAUUAAUUUCGACUUAAUUUAAGAGAUUAAAAUCUCCUAUACUU